GACGAACGCUGGCGGCGUGCUUAACACAUGCAAGUCGAACGGAAAGACCCUGCUUUUGUGGUGUUCUCGAGUGGCGAACGCGUGCGUAACACGUGUGUAACCUGCCCUUCACUUUGGUAUAACUUCAGGAAACUGGGGCUAAUCCCGUAUAGGAUCUCCUGCUCCAUUGUGGGGGUUGGAAAGUCUCGGCGGUUGGGGAUGGACUCGCGGCUUAUCAGCUAGUUGGUGGGGUAGUGGCUUACCAAGGCUUUGGCGGAUAGCCGGCCUGAGAGGGUGACCGGCCACAAGGGGACUGAGAUACGGCGCAGACGCCUACGGGAGGCAGCAGGGGGGAACAUUACACAAUGAGAGGAAGCCGGAUGCAGAAGCGCCGCGGGCGGGAUGACGGCCUUCGGGUUGUAAACCGCUUCCGCCUGUGACGAAGCGGGAGUGACGGUAAUGAGUAAAGAAGCACCGGCUAACUACGUG
This 468-nucleotide ribosomal RNA is filed under the name uncultured bacterium. RNAcentral describes it as "partial 16S ribosomal RNA". It matches the Rfam family "Bacterial small subunit ribosomal RNA", at positions 28 to 507 of the family's 1533-position model. The record is from RNAcentral.